Gymnogyps californianus (California condor) is the source of this 814-nucleotide long non-coding RNA. RefSeq lists it as uncharacterized. The transcript is spliced from 4 exons. The record is from RefSeq and is a predicted model, not a curated record. Lineage: Eukaryota; Metazoa; Chordata; Aves; Accipitriformes; Cathartidae.
UGAGCCCUACCCAACUGUGGCCUGUUAGCAAUGGCAGCAUAAGCUGGGAUGUGAUGGUGAACCCUGUGGCAGACAGAAAGGUGGUUUUCAUUAAUUACUUCACUCUUCAAGUCCUUUACUGCAGACAUCUCUAUCCACAAACCAGGCUGCCAGGGAUGGAGAGAAGAAGAAAUGGAGGAGGGGAUGAGCCCCAGCAGGGAGGGGAUCCCCAGUGGUUUGCUUGCUGCAGUGGUAGUGGCUCCUGUGGAUUUGCCCCGGGUUACGAAACACGAGUUGCUCCUGACAGACCUUGCUAGUUUCUGCUACGACCUGACUGGGAGGAAGGACAAUAAAAUCUGUUUUGCGAGACGUUGGCGUUCCCUUCCCCUAGACAUGCUGACUCCUGCCUGCCAGAGUGAUUCAGCAGCUUGCCACUCACUUUUACAGGAGGAAAGUUUUCUCCUAGCUUCUUCCACUGGCCUGGUGUGACCGUGGCUGCGAUUGAGGGACAUAUUCGUGUGGCUGGUUGAUUCUUCGCACUGAGUCACUGUGGAGCAGCCGGGCAGCUCUGAGCUCUCUGUCUAGCUGGUGGCUCUGUCCUUUAUGUGGGGAAGGAGAUCCCCGUGGAGAGCAUUGGGGCUCUCUGCUUCACAGCUUUCCCCUUUCCACGCAGGGUCACAUUAAGUAAGGAGAAGUUAUUUAUAAUUGAGGCUGGUUGCUGACUAUCUGUCACAGUCAUCCAGGCCUAUAGAGGAAAGUCUGUAGAGAAAUGCUGCUCGUUCGUUUAACUGCAACAAAUGCCCAUAAAAAAUGCAAGGGAUAGGGAGUGAUUAAC